UACGAGUGCCCCAAGCGUUAUCCGGAAUCAUUGGGCGUAAAGGGUGUGUAGGCGGUUGUGUUAGUCUUCUGUUAAAAUCCCGGGCUCAACCCGGGACCUGCAGAGGAAACGGCACGACUCGAGGAUGCGAGAGGUGAAUGGAACUCAUGGAGUAGGGGUGAAAUCCGUUGAUAUCAUGGGGAACACCAAAAGCGAAGGCAAUUCACUGGCGCAUUCCUGACGCUGAGACACGAAAGCGUGGGUAGCGAACGGG
This 253-nucleotide ribosomal RNA is filed under the name uncultured bacterium. Its description in RNAcentral is "partial 16S ribosomal RNA". It matches the Rfam family "Bacterial small subunit ribosomal RNA", at positions 524 to 776 of the family's 1533-position model. The record is from RNAcentral.